Molecule: unclassified non-coding RNA, 165 nt
Filed under: Verticillium nubilum
Lineage: Eukaryota; Fungi; Ascomycota; Sordariomycetes; Glomerellales; Plectosphaerellaceae
Description: partial internal transcribed spacer 2
Source: RNAcentral
CAACCCUCGAGCCCCAGUGGCCCGGUGUUGGGGAUCUACUUCCGUAGGCCCUUAAAAGCAGUGGCGGACCCGCGUGGCCCUUCCUUGCGUAGUAAUUACAGCUCGCAUCGGAGUCCCGUAGGCACUUGCCUCUAAACCCCCUACAAGCCCGCCUCGUGCGGCAAC